UAUUAUCAGGGGUGCUGCCCGCGGGCGGCUGAGACGGAGAAAUCCGAACCCUUUAACCUGAUACGGGUAAUUCCGGCGUAGGGAGCAUAAC
RNAcentral lists this non-coding RNA (91 nucleotides) under pig gut metagenome. The record is from RNAcentral.